GGAGGAAAAGAAACCAACAGGGAUUGCCUUAGUAACGGCGRGUGAAGCGGCAACAGCUCAAAUUUGAAAUCUGGCCCUCUCAGGGUCCGAGUUGUAAUUUGCAGAGGAUGCUUCGGCGUCGGCACCGGUCUAAGUUCCUUGGAACAGGACGUCAUAGAGGGUGAGAAUCCCGUAUGCGACCGGGCGCCGCCGCCGUGUGAAGCUCCUUCGACGAGUCGAGUUGUUUGGGAAUGCAGCUCUAAAUGGGAGGUAAAUUUCUUCUAAAGCUAAAUACUGGCCAGAGACCGAUAGCGCACAAGUAGAGNGAUCGAAAGAUGAAAAGCACUUUGGAAAGAGAGUCAAACAGUACGUGAAAUUGUUGAAAGGGAAGCGCUUGCAACCAGACCUGACCGCANUUGCUUAUCCGUCCUCCUGGGCGGUGCACUCUUCUGCGAGCAGGCCAGCAUCAGUUUGGGCGGCCGGAUAAAGGCCCCGGGAAUGUAGCAUCUUUCGGGGUGUGUUAUAGCCCGGGGUGCAAUACGGCCCGCCCGGACUGAGGACCGCGCUUCGGCUAGGAUGCUGGCGUAAUGGUUGUAAGCGGCCCGUCU
This 587-nucleotide ribosomal RNA is filed under the name Coniosporium sp. MGS-2021a. Its description in RNAcentral is "partial large subunit ribosomal RNA". Lineage: Eukaryota; Fungi; Ascomycota; Dothideomycetes. The record is from RNAcentral.